CCUACGGGUGGCAGCAGUAGGGAAUAUUGCUCAAUGGGGGAGACCCUGAAGCAGCAAAGCCGCGUGGAGGAUGAAGGUUUUCUGAUUGUAAACUCCUUUUGUUAGAGAAGAUAAUGACGGUAUGUAACGAAUAAGCAACGGAUAACUCCGUGCCAGCAGCCGCGGUAAUACGGAGGGUGCCAGGGUUACACGGAGUCACUGGGCGUAAAGAGGGCGUAGGGGGGUUAUCAAGUCAGUUGUGAAAUCGUAUGGCUUAACCGUAGAAUUGCAAUUGAAACUGUUAGUCUAGAGUAUGGGAGAGGUAGGUGGAAUUCGUGGUGUAGGGGUAAAAUCCGUAGAGAUCAAGAAGAAUCCUGAUUGCGAAGGCGACCUGCUAAAACAUAACUGACGCUGAUGCUCGAAAGCGUGGGGAGCAAACAGGAUUAGAUACCCCUGUAGUC
RNAcentral lists this ribosomal RNA (440 nucleotides) under uncultured bacterium. RNAcentral's name for it is "partial 16S ribosomal RNA". It matches the Rfam family "Bacterial small subunit ribosomal RNA", at positions 338 to 795 of the family's 1533-position model. The record is from RNAcentral.